Molecule: ribosomal RNA, 1746 nt
Filed under: Escherichia coli
Lineage: Bacteria; Pseudomonadati; Pseudomonadota; Gammaproteobacteria; Enterobacterales; Enterobacteriaceae
Description: partial 23S ribosomal RNA
Rfam family: Bacterial large subunit ribosomal RNA
Source: RNAcentral
CUAUGUGUUGUUGGGUAGGGGAGCGUUCUGUAAGCCUGUGAAGGUGGCCUGUGAGGGUUGCUGGAGGUAUCAGAAGUGCGAAUGCUGACAUAAGUAACGAUAAAGCGGGUGAAAAGCCCGCUCGCCGGAAGACCAAGGGUUCCUGUCCAACGUUAAUCGGGGCAGGGUGAGUCGACCCCUAAGGCGAGGCCGAAAGGCGUAGUCGAUGGGAAACAGGUUAAUAUUCCUGUACUUGGUGUUACUGCGAAGGGGGGACGGAGAAGGCUAUGUUGGCCGGGCGACGGUUGUCCCGGUUUAAGCGUGUAGGCUGGUUUUCCAGGCAAAUCCGGAAAACCAAGGCUGAGGCGUGAUGACGAGGCACUACGGUGCUGAAGCGACAAAUGCCCUGCUUCCAGGAAAAGCCUCUAAGCAUCAGGUAACAUCAAAUCGUACCCCAAACCGACACAGGUGGUCAGGUAGAGAAUACCAAGGCGCUUGAGAGAACUCGGGUGAAGGAACUAGGCAAAAUGGUGCCGUAACUUCGGGAGAAGGCACGCUGAUAUGUAGGUGAAGCGACUUGCUCGUGGAGCUGAAAUCAGUCGAAGAUACCAGCUGGCUGCAACUGUUUAUUAAAAACACAGCACUGUGCAAACACGAAAGUGGACGUAUACGGUGUGACGCCUGCCCGGUGCCGGAAGGUUAAUUGAUGGGGUUAGCGGCAACGCGAAGCUCUUGAUCGAAGCCCCGGUAAACGGCGGCCGUAACUAUAACGGUCCUAAGGUAGCGAAAUUCCUUGUCGGGUAAGUUCCGACCUGCACGAAUGGCGUAAUGAUGGCCAGGCUGUCUCCACCCGAGACUCAGUGAAAUUGAACUCGCUGUGAAGAUGCAGUGUACCCGCGGCAAGACGGAAAGACCCCGUGAACCUUUACUAUAGCUUGACACUGAACAUUGAGCCUUGAUGUGUAGGAUAGGUGGGAGGCUUUGAAGUGUGGACGCCAGUCUGCAUGGAGCCGACCUUGAAAUACCACCCUUUAAUGUUUGAUGUUCUAACGUUGGCCCGUAAUCCGGGUUGCGGACAGUGUCUGGUGGGUAGUUUGACUGGGGCGGUCUCCUCCUAAAGAGUAACGGAGGAGCACGAAGGUUGGCUAAUCCUGGUCGGACAUCAGGAGGUUAGUGCAAUGGCAUAAGCCAGCUUGACUGCGAGCGUGACGGCGCGAGCAGGUGCGAAAGCAGGUCAUAGUGAUCCGGUGGUUCUGAAUGGAAGGGCCAUCGCUCAACGGAUAAAAGGUACUCCGGGGAUAACAGGCUGAUACCGCCCAAGAGUUCAUAUCGACGGCGGUGUUUGGCACCUCGAUGUCGGCUCAUCACAUCCUGGGGCUGAAGUAGGUCCCAAGGGUAUGGCUGUUCGCCAUUUAAAGUGGUACGCGAGCUGGGUUUAGAACGUCGUGAGACAGUUCGGUCCCUAUCUGCCGUGGGCGCUGGAGAACUGAGGGGGGCUGCUCCUAGUACGAGAGGACCGGAGUGGACGCAUCACUGGUGUUCGGGUUGUCAUGCCAAUGGCACUGCCCGGUAGCUAAAUGCGGAAGAGAUAAGUGCUGAAAGCAUCUAAGCACGAAACUUGCCCCGAGAUGAGUUCUCCCUGACUCCUUGAGAGUCCUGAAGGAACGUUGAAGACGACGACGUUGAUAGGCCGGGUGUGUAAGCGCAGCGAUGCGUUGAGCUAACCGGUACUAAUGAACCGUGAGGCUUAACCUUACAACGCCGAAG